This 292-nucleotide long non-coding RNA is filed under the name Gossypium raimondii (Peruvian cotton). RNAcentral describes it as "long non-coding RNA (GRAI_LNC000539)". Lineage: Eukaryota; Viridiplantae; Streptophyta; Magnoliopsida; Malvales; Malvaceae. The record is from RNAcentral.
CAACCAAUCCAAUAUAAGUACAAAACCGUAAUACAUAGUCAAAUAAAUUUGGAUUCCACCGGUCCAGCCAGCCUUUUAACCAAUGCAUCCGACUUAACGGUUAUUCUAGUUAAAAGGGGAAAAGAAGUUUAUUGUAAAUUUGAUAUAUGAGCAAUUUGGUACAAAUGCCAUUCCCCUACUUGGGAGAUGGAGGACGAAGGGAUAUUCGGUUUUGCUAUAACAUUAUGGUGUUGGGGGGAAUUUCCGGAGCAAGUAUGAAUGCAGUGUGACAGUGCUAAUAAUAGUAAUAAAU